UCUUUUAGACAUUGGGUAGGGGAGCGUUCUGUAAGCCGUUGAAGGUGAAUCGUAAGGUUUGCUGGAGGUAUCAGAAGUGCGAAUGCUGACAUGAGUAACGACAAAGGGGGUGAAAAACCUCCUCGCCGGAAGACCAAGGGUUCCUGUCCAACGUUAAUCGGGGCAGGGUGAGUCGACCCCUAAGGUGAGGCCGAAAGGCGUAAUCGAUGGGAAACGGGUUAAUAUUCCCGUACUUCUGACUAUUGCGAUGGGGGGACGGAGAAGGCUAGGUGGGCCAGGCGACGGUUGUCCUGGUUCAAGUGCGUAGGCUUGAGAGUUAGGUAAAUCCGGCUCUCUCUAAGGCUGAGACACGACGUCGAGCUACUACGGUAGUGAAGUCAUUGAUGCCAUGCUUCCAGGAAAAGCCUCUAAGCUUCAGAUAGUCAGGAAUCGUACCCCAAACCGACACAGGUGGUCGGGUAGAGAAUACCAAGGCGCUUGAGAGAACUCGGGUGAAGGAACUAGGCAAAAUGGUACCGUAACUUCGGGAGAAGGUACGCUCUUGAUGGUGAAGUCCCUCGCGGAUGGAGCUGACGAGAGUCGCAGAUACCAGGUGGCUGCAACUGUUUAUUAAAAACACAGCACUGUGCAAAAUCGCAAGAUGACGUAUACGGUGUGACGCCUGCCCGGUGCCGGAAGGUUAAUUGAUGGGGUUAGCGCAAGCGAAGCUCUUGAUCGAAGCCCCGGUAAACGGCGGCCGUAACUAUAACGGUCCUAAGGUAGCGAAAUUCCUUGUCGGGUAAGUUCCGACCUGCACGAAUGGCGUAAUGAUGGCCACGCUGUCUCCACCCGAGACUCAGUGAAAUUGAAAUCGCUGUGAAGAUGCAGUGUACCCGCGGCUAGACGGAAAGACCCCGUGAACCUUUACUACAGCUUGGCACUGAACAUUGAACCUACAUGUGUAGGAUAGGUGGGAGGCUAUGAAGACGUGACGCCAGUUGCGUUGGAGCCGUCCUUGAAAUACCACCCUUGUAUGUUUGAUGUUCUAACUUAGACCCAUUAUCUGGGUUGAGGACAGUGCCUGGUGGGUAGUUUGACUGGGGCGGUCUCCUCCCAAAGAGUAACGGAGGAGCACGAAGGUGGGCUAAUCACGGUUGGACAUCGUGAGGUUAGUGCAAUGGCAUAAGCCCGCUUAACUGCGAGAAUGACGGUUCGAGCAGGUGCGAAAGCAGGUCAUAGUGAUCCGGUGGUUCUGUAUGGAAGGGCCAUCGCUCAACGGAUAAAAGGUACUCCGGGGAUAACAGGCUGAUACCGCCCAAGAGUUCAUAUCGACGGCGGUGUUUGGCACCUCGAUGUCGGCUCAUCACAUCCUGGGGCUGAAGUCGGUCCCAAGGGUAUGGCUGUUCGCCAUUUAAAGUGGUACGCGAGCUGGGUUUAGAACGUCGUGAGACAGUUCGGUCCCUAUCUGCCGUGGGCGUUGGAAGAUUGAAGGGGGCUGCUCCUAGUACGAGAGGACCGGAGUGGACGAACCUCUGGUGUUCGGGUUGUGUCGCCAGACGCAUUGCCCGGUAGCUAAGUUCGGAAUUGAUAAGCGCUGAAAGCAUCUAAGCGCGAAGCGAGCCCUGAGAUGAGUCUUCCCUGACAGUUUAACUGUCCUAAAGGGUUGUUCGAGACUAGAACGUUGAUAGGCAGGGUGUGUAAGCGUUGUGAGGCGUUGAGCUAACCUGUACUAAUUGCCCGUGAGGCUUAACCAU
This 1733-nucleotide ribosomal RNA is filed under the name Vibrio cholerae. Its description in RNAcentral is "partial 23S ribosomal RNA". It matches the Rfam family "Bacterial large subunit ribosomal RNA", at positions 1213 to 2925 of the family's 2925-position model. The record is from RNAcentral. Lineage: Bacteria; Pseudomonadati; Pseudomonadota; Gammaproteobacteria; Vibrionales; Vibrionaceae. RNAcentral also lists the same sequence under 1 other name.